GACGAACGCUGGCGGCGUGCCUAAUACAUGCAAGUCGAGCGAGCGGAACCAACAGAUUUACUUCGGUAAUGACGUUGGGACAGCGAGCGGCGGAUGGGUGAGUAACACGUGGGGAACCUGCCCCUAAGUCUGGGAUACCAUUUGGAAACAGGUGCUAAUACCGGAUAAGAAAGCAGAUCGCAUGAUCAGCUUUUAAAAGGCGGCGUAAGCUGUCGCUAAGGGAUGGCCCCGCGGUGCAUUAGCUAGUUGGUAAGGUAACGGCUUACCAAGGCAACGAUGCAUAGCCGAGUUGAGAGACUGAUCGGCCACAUUGGGACUGAGACACGGCCCAAACUCCUACGGGAGGCAGCAGUAGGGAAUCUUCCACAAUGGACGCAAGUCUGAUGGAGCAACGCCGCGUGAGUGAAGAAGGUUUUCGGAUCGUAAAGCUCUGUUGUUGGUGAAGAAGGAUAGAGGUAGUAACUGGCCUUUAUUUGACGGUAAUCAACCAGAAAGUCACGGCUAACUACGUG
This 512-nucleotide ribosomal RNA is filed under the name uncultured bacterium. RNAcentral describes it as "partial 16S ribosomal RNA". It matches the Rfam family "Bacterial small subunit ribosomal RNA", at positions 28 to 507 of the family's 1533-position model. The record is from RNAcentral.